UCUUUUUUUCUUUCUGGCCGCUGUCCACGUAAGAUGUGACUUGCUCCUCUUUGCCUUCUGCCAUGAUUGUGAAGCUUCCUAAGCCACGUGGAACUUUCUGGAGGCUGGAAGUCCAAGAUCAAGGUGCUAUCAGGGUUGGUUUCGGCUGUGGCCUCUCUUCCUGGCUUGUAGACAGCUAUCUUCUCGCAGUGUCCUCACGUGGCCUCUUUGUGUGAAGUUAAAAAUGAACAGAUCAACCUUUUACUCUUCUCUGAAAAAUAUAGUGAAAUUAAUAAUCAAGAACGAUUUUCUGAAAUGAAAACAUCCGAACAGCAUACUGCAAAGACAUUCAGGGGAAAAUAAAAUAGGAAGCUGCUAAAGAAUGUGCUUGACUAAAACAAGGCAAUAAGCAAAAGGAAGUCAUAGCAUCCAGAAAAUGGGAUCCAUCAUGCGCACAAAGAAAAGGUGAAGAAAAUUUCCAGGAUGUUCAGAACCCACCAAAAACGAAAGAUUCUGGUCCAGAUCAGAAGAGAGGGAAACACUCUGAAAAAGUCCCUCAAAUACAAAAUUAAACAGAGUUUAAAUGAUGUGCUUGACCACAAUAAAAGGCUUCUUGCUCUGUAA
Molecule: long non-coding RNA, 603 nt
Filed under: Homo sapiens (human)
Lineage: Eukaryota; Metazoa; Chordata; Mammalia; Primates; Hominidae
Description: HSALNT0329017
Source: RNAcentral